UUUCCUGUAUUGUCUGCGACUGUCUGUCGCCAAACCCGCCCAAGUUCGAAAAAAAGAAACAUGUCGGGGAGAAGAGCACUUUGCAAAGAUUCAAACGUGACAUAUGAAGUCACCGUCAACGAUGGAGUUUAUGCUGACUCAACCAUCAUUAAGGACAUCUCUAAACAAGGGAAGUUCGUAGAAGACGAUGAUAGCGACCCACCGGUUGUCUUUUUCUGCGGAGUUGCAAGUUGCCUGUCGGUGACUCGUUGUCUUGGGCUGGGAGUGAGGACGAAAAAAUCAAAUACUCCUGAAACGUGUCAGUGACAAUGUUUUGGUUGGCGAAGAAACUCACUUCUCCGGUACCUGUAAGAAGGAUCUAGGCUGUCUGAAAGUCCACCUGACCUGUCGUGGCUGCAGCUCUCUGCUUGGCAUGGUCUACAUCUCUACACCCAGGAAACUGGACCACAUCAGGUCUCUGUUCUGCCUCAAUGUGACUGCCAUAGAGAGGUGAGCCAUCUAUGUCCUGGGGUCUUCCAGUCAGCAGGUGGCAGCAGUGAGCCCCAAGCAGCAGCCGGUCACUCUGGAGUACAGACAGGCUGUAGAGCGACAACUGGAUGAGAUUAAGGCGGUGACUCUGUCUAUGGGGCAGAGGUUGUUGGUGCUGGAGGGUGACCAGCAGAGUAAAAGUCAGAUGUGAUGAUGCAUCUUGACAGUGAUGGACCACACUACGUCAUGGGGGGGGUGGGUGGUGAGGUCUCUCAUACACACAUCACUAAGUAACUCAACCCCCCCAUGACGCUUCACCCUCUACCCCUCCCUUUGUUAGUUCUGAUGGGGAACAAACAGCCACAACCUGUUUGUUCCACAAGGUUUUAACACCUCUAGCACAAUAAAUGGCGCCCUAUUCCCUAUAUAGUGCACUACUUUAGACCAGAGCCCUAUGGGACCCUAUUCCCUAUAUAGUGCACUACUUUAGACCAGGGCCCUAUGGAACCCUAUUCCCUAUAUAGUGCACUACUUUAGACCAGAGCCCUAUGGAACCC
This is a long non-coding RNA of Oncorhynchus tshawytscha (Chinook salmon), 1025 nucleotides long. The record is from Ensembl. NCBI's taxonomy places the organism in Eukaryota, Metazoa, Chordata, Actinopteri, Salmoniformes, Salmonidae.